GGGUGUGUAGUAUAAUCGGUCAAUAUAUAUUCUUGUCGAGAAUAGCCAUGCCGGUUCGAGUCCGGUCGCACUCG
This is a non-coding RNA of Wallemia ichthyophaga EXF-994, 74 nucleotides long. Lineage: Eukaryota; Fungi; Basidiomycota; Wallemiomycetes; Wallemiales; Wallemiaceae. The record is from the annotation of a RefSeq genome assembly.